AUGGUGUCCGAUAGUGUCAAUCUUGGUGCUGGUUAUGCUGCUAGUCAUGGUUCCUCUUCCUUACCUGAAACACAACCUGAUGUUACCCCUGACAGUGUUAGCAAGAAAAGGAACAAGAGGUCAAAGGCAUGGGCACACUUCACAAUUCAGAACGAUGAUCCAGAUCAUGCAAACUGCAACUAUUGUAGUGCUAUAUUAGGCUGCAAAUCCACAUCGGCAGGUACUGCUUCUUUAGUAAACCAUUUGAAGAUUUGCAAAAAGAAUCCUGCCCACAUCGGUAGCAAUCAGACCGAGCUUACCUACCAAGUUUGUGAUGAUGGCAAUUCUGUGGUUCCUUGGCAAUACAAUGAGAAAGAAGUUAGAGAAGCAUUUGCUCGCAUGAUAGUGAUAGAUGAGCUUCCGUUCAUAUUUGCAGAGAAAGAAGGAUUUAGGUUCUUCAUGUCUAAAGCUUGCCCUAGGUUCAAUGUGCCAUCUAGGACCACUAUGUAUAGAGAUAUCAUUGCUCUUUAUGAAACUGAGAAAGCUAUGCUUAGAAAGUAUUUCAUCGAUUCACGUCAAACUGUUUGCCUCACCACUGAUACAUGGACAUCAAAAAGACAGCAAAGCUACAUGGUUCUUACUGCACAUUUCAUCGAUUCUUCAUGGAACCUUAGGAAAAAAAUUAUUAGCUUUGUCUUGGUAGAUGGACACAAAGGGGACGAUAUUGGGAAAUCGUUAGAAAAAUUACUGAUUGAGUGGGGCAUUGAACGAGUGUGCACUAUUACAGUAGAUAAUGCGAGUUCUAAUGACACCUGCUUAGCCUACAUGAAGAGAUCUUUGACUAAUAGGGGCUGCACACAUGCAAGAAGUCAAUAUCUUCACAUGAGGUGUGUGGCUCACAUUGUUAAUCUUGUGGUUCAAGAUGGGCUAAAGAUAAUGUGCCAUCCUGUAAACAGAAUUCGCCAUGCUAUCAAGUUUGUUAGAGCCUCCCCAACUAGACUGGAUGUAUUUAAGAAGUGUGUGCAGCUAAGCAAGGUAGCGAGCAAAGGUUUGAUUAAUAUUGAUGUGGCUACUAGAUGGAACUCUACAUUUGUAAUGCUAGACAAUGUUGAGAAAUUUGAGAGGGCAUUUGAGCAAUAUGCACUUCAUGAUCCCAACUACAAGACCGAGUUAGAAAAAACUGGUCCAGAACCUAAGCCCGAUGCUCUUGACCAACGGGGUCCUCCAACUCAAAGUGAUUGGGUAUAUGUUCGUGAGUUCAAACAAUUCCUCCAACACUUCUAUGACCUCACGAAUAAGGUUUCUGGCACCAAGUAUGUUACAACCAACACCUUCUUGGAAGAGAUUGUUGAUGUUAACUUUUUGUUGGGUGAAUGGAGUGAUCAUGUGAUCUGUGGUGAUGAUGAAAUAUUUAAAUGCAUGGCUCUCAAGAUGAAAGCGAAGUAUGAGAAGUAUUGGGGUGAUCCUGAAAAGAUGAACAAAUAUAUAUUCAUUGCCGCCAUCCUUGAUCCUAGGACCAAGGAAUCUCAUUUCUUUAAGGACAUGAUUGAAGACACCUAUGGUUGUAUAAUAGGUAACAUAAUCUUGACUUCUUCACACAACGAAUUUGUCUCUCUUUUUGGAGAAUACAAAGAAUUGUAUGGAACCAGUUCUACUAGUGAAUUAGCAUCACAAGCUCGUGCUAGUGAAAAUGCUUCUGAAAAUUCUCUUAUGAGAUCACGCUACAACAAGAAGAGAAUGAGAUCUUGUGGAGAGGGUAGCACUAGCUCAAAUAUGAGAACUGAAUUAGACAAGUACCUAGCUGAGGAUACCGAAGAGUUGACUGCAGAAUUUGACCUUCUUGAGUGGUGGAAGUUGAAUGCUGCUCGCUUUCCUGUCCUGUCAAAAAUGGCUCAUGAUAUACUAGCAAUCCCCAUCUCAACGGUUGCUUCUGAAUCAGCUUUUAGCACUAGUGGCCGUAUUCUUGAUGACUUCAGAAGCUCUUUGACACCAGUGACACUCCAAGCGUUGAUAUGUACGCAAGAUUGGUUGCGUAGUAAGCCUAUCAAUGUUGAACUCGAUCUUGCUGAGUUGACCAAACUGGAGGAAGGUGUGGGAGCCCUUCGAUUGGACGAUAAUGGUGUAAUAUCGAUUGAUUGA
Molecule: ribosomal RNA, 2118 nt
Filed under: Triticum aestivum (bread wheat)
Lineage: Eukaryota; Viridiplantae; Streptophyta; Magnoliopsida; Poales; Poaceae
Description: partial small subunit ribosomal RNA
Source: RNAcentral